CAGCAGCCGCGGUAAUACGAAGGGUGCAAGCGUUACUCGGAAUUACUGGGCGUAAAGCGCACGUAGGCGGUUACUCAAGUCAGAGGUGAAAGCCCGGGGCUCAACCCCGGAACUGCCUUUGAAACUAGGUGACUAGAAUCUUGGAGAGGUCAGUGGAAUUCCGAGUGUAGAGGUGAAAUUCGUAGAUAUUGGAUGGAACACCGGUGGCGAAAGCGGCUCUCUGGCCCGGAUCUGACGCUGAGGCGCGAAAGCGUGGGGAGCGAACAGGAUUAGAUACCCGCGUAGUCCCUGUCUCUUAUAC
Molecule: ribosomal RNA, 301 nt
Filed under: uncultured bacterium
Lineage: Bacteria
Description: partial 16S ribosomal RNA
Rfam family: Bacterial small subunit ribosomal RNA
Source: RNAcentral